Drosophila kikkawai is the source of this 630-nucleotide non-coding RNA. The record is from RefSeq and is a predicted model, not a curated record. NCBI's taxonomy places the organism in Eukaryota, Metazoa, Arthropoda, Insecta, Diptera, Drosophilidae.
AGCGAAGCUUGUCAAGUGACUUUUCAAGUGCUUCUCGAAUUUCGUAUUUUAUUUAAAAUCAAGACAAAUCUCUGGCACAUGGCAGAUGACAUUUAAUGUGGCCUUUAGAGCAAGGCCUGUCGACACCAGCCAACAACGUCAAAAUCGAAUAGUCAACAACGCAACACAAUGCAAGUGGCCAAAAUGAGAGGGAGGGAAAUAAACGGAUGUUGGGGUGUGGGUAUGCCGUUGAGUGAGGAGUCAGAGCCACGCUGCAUAUUUCAACAUUUCCGGUUUGAUUUCACAUUCCAAACAAAAUGGCCGGCAGACGUGCUUCCGCCAUCUGCUGCACGCACCCGCACCUGGUCAUUGGAGGUGGAGCCAGAAUCAGAAUCAGAAUCAGAACCAGAACCAGAUUCCGGAUCAGGGCUCAGUUUAGGGAGAGUUCAAGUGCAAGAUUCUAUGGAGUGGUGUACUUUUCAAUUUGUAAAUUACAAGCUUUUAAAAAAAUAUUCAUAGAUAGGGUCAUACGGAACUGAUAUAGGCACUUGACAAGAAUAUUUACCAAGGGUUAUAACGAAUUUUAAGAGUGAGAAACUAUUUAUUUCUAUGAAACUGAGAGGCACAGAAUCAACUUUUUAUUUUGUUAAU